GGCAGCAUGGUCUUAGCUUGCUAAGGCCGAUGGCGACCGGCGCACGGGUGAGUAACACGUAUCCAACCUGCCGUCUACUCUUGGACAGCCUUCUGAAAGGAAGAUUAAUACAAGAUGGCAUCAUGAGUCCGCAUGUUCACAUGAUUAAAGGUAUUCCGGUAGACGAUGGGGAUGCGUUCCAUUAGAUAGUAGGCGGGGUAACGGCCCACCUAGUCUUCGAUGGAUAGGGGUUCUGAGAGGAAGGUCCCCCACAUUGGAACUGAGACACGGUCCAAACUCCUACGGGAGGCAGCAGUGAGGAAUAUUGGUCAAUGGGCGAGAGCCUGAACCAGCCAAGUAGCGUGAAGGAUGACUGCCCUAUGGGUUGUAAACUUCUUUUAUAAAGGAAUAAAGUCGGGUAUGGAUACCCGUUUGCAUGUACUUUAUGAAUAAGGAUCGGCUAACUCCGUGCCAGCAGCCGCGGUAAUACGGAGGAUCCGAGCGUUAUCCGGAUUUAUUGGGUUUAAAGGGAGCGUAGAUGGAUGUUUAAGUCAGUUGUGAAAGUUUGCGGCUCAACCGUAAAAUUGCAGUUGAUACUGGAUAUCUUGAGUGCAGUUGAGGCAGGCGGAAUUCGUGGUGUAGCGGUGAAAUGCUUAGAUAUCACGAAGAACUCCGAUUGCGAAGGCAGCCUGCUAAGCUGCAACUGA
Molecule: ribosomal RNA, 686 nt
Filed under: uncultured Bacteroidales bacterium
Lineage: Bacteria; Pseudomonadati; Bacteroidota; Bacteroidia; Bacteroidales
Description: bacterial SSU rRNA
Rfam family: Bacterial small subunit ribosomal RNA
Source: RNAcentral